Non-coding RNA from Coturnix japonica (Japanese quail), 2701 nucleotides. NCBI's taxonomy places the organism in Eukaryota, Metazoa, Chordata, Aves, Galliformes, Phasianidae. The record is from RefSeq and is a predicted model, not a curated record.
CCUUGGUCGGGGCGAGCUGGGGCUGCAGGCUGUUGGUUUCAAGCCCUCAGCGUCCCUGGGGCAGAGGGCUGCACUGCCAAAGGUGCCUCCUGCUUCCUCUUAGCUCAGCCAGACCUGCAGCGCACCUCAGAACCCCCAGAAGAGACUGAAGAGGGCUCUCACAGGAAAAGCUCUGAAGCUUGUUAAAACAAAACAAACAUAUGAAUAGCACCGCUGUGAAGGACUCAGUGCCUCGUUGGCGUUGUGCUAAUGCGGUACUUCACCCCUUCUGCAGGCUUCACCCCUCGUGUGCCCGCCGUCUUAUGGUGUGCCUGCAGUGCCAAGUCCUGGUGACAGCAAAGCUACAGCUUCCUUUGUUAACCCAUGACCUGGUAGCCAGAUGGACAGCAGGAGCAGUGCAGAGGGCGUUACAGGUGUGGAGAAAGACCUCCAGGUAUGACCAACUACUUAGUUACCGUCAGCAGGGAGUAAAACGCUACAGAUAAGGCAUCAUUAUUUUUUGCUGCUCACAAAUAAUAAUUCAGGUAAAUACAUAGUUUUCUCAGUAAUAAAGUUUUGACUUCAUGUCAAAUUCUGAAAUAGGUGUAUUCUGGUAUAACUCCACACGUUCAUAUUUCUGUUCUAGAAGUGAUUCCAUUGAGACACCUACCUGGAAUAAUUACUUAGAUAAAGCCGUAACCUUGUGUACAGUGUUUCAUUUUCUUGGACUCGUUCUGUUGCAUGACAACUACUUGACAACACCUUGAUUCUUGAUUUUAUUUAAGCAGGAUCUCUUGCAAGCAUUCUUGCAGACACCGUGCAUUCAAAGCUAAUGUCAUUUUUUUCCCCUGUAUAGGCCAUAUUUGAGCAGCACUGGAUUGGAGUUCUUUCCCUGCACUGCGUUCUGCUAAGCGUCCUUCCAAUGAGGGUUACAUGAUCUUCACCGCAGAGUUGUCAGUGCUUGGCUUUAUUCCUUUUUCUAUAUAAUUUGUUUAAGAUUUGAUCAACACUUCUGCUGAUAUUGACUGCUGUUAUCAACAGAAAUGUGUGAGUCUAAGCAAAACCUAAGCUCUGACAGGAAAUCCCAGUGACUGAAAUAGGUACCAAGCUUGCUGGUACAGAGGUUUCCAAAAUGAGUUUUGCAAUUAAAACAGGUACAACACCAGACAAAGACUCAAGAACAAUAUUGACAAUUAUUAUUACACAACUUUAAGGUCUAUUAUUACAGCAAAGCUAUUACCAUCCUUGGCUUUUUUGACCUUGACCUACAAGGUUCUUGCCUGUAAGACUGAGCACAGAGAUGUAAAAAUAUUUUCCCCACAUGACACAAGAAUACAUCUAUGCAGGAUCUACAUAGAGAGAAGUGAUUUCACCAAGAAGUGAAAUACCCUCUGUGCACUUCCCAGCAUCAAAAUCUAUUACAGCCUGAAAGUAAAAGUGAAGCUAUUAGAAAACUAGAUGCUCAUUAUAGAUUUUAUAACAGGUUUUCAGUAACAGAACAGCCAUUAAUCGUGCUGCCACUUAUCACCAGACAGCGCUGUAGAUGACAACAGCUUUCCAUACAGUGCUGUGAAGCCUGAUACCUGAACCAGAUUAUAAAAGUUCUAUGCUGCUAGUACUGGUCUCAGUGUUAUUUUGUCGAACACUGUGUAGAAAGUGAAUAUGAGUGUUCAUGCAGUCAUUCUAUGUUCUUAAAAAGAUUUAAGUUUUAUUUACCCUUUGCUCAUCCACGGCUUUUACACAAGUAUUUGUUUUAUUGCUUCAAAAUUUUACCUAGUUGUCGUAAGAUUUUUAAAGGAGAGCUAAACAUUCCACAGAAAUGAUGAGUUUAAUGAGAAGCUAAUUUUGAAUUUACAACACCAUACAGAAUACCUAAACAUUACUGAAGUUGGAAGAGUAUCUGUGAUUUCUGUACCUCUGCACUUCUCCAGUUAUAUCUCCAGUUUUGUGGAACUCAGACUGCAAAUGUCUUCCUUAGGGACAGAUUAAAAGCACAAGCAUAAUUCUAACCUCAAGCAAUAGGGUAAGUGAAUGUAACUUGUCUUCAUCUGGAGAGAAGAGUGCAGAUGGUUGUAAUUACUAAAGAUUGCUUGCCAUUAGAUGCAAGCACAUAAAUUAAUUUCCGUUUUUAAUAAAGUAAUGCCACUGCAGUUAUACACAAGCCCUAAGGUAACUGCGUCUAAAACAAACAGCAACAUUCACACAGGAAAUGAUGGACAAAUGACAUAGGAGCUGACUGCAUGUUUCAGUUGGAAAUUAAGAGUUCCAAAAACAAUAUAUUCAAAAUCCCCUCAAAGGGCUUAAGCACUUCCUAUCUGAGAUAACGUAAGAGAUAAACUGCACAAAAGAACAGACAAUUGUUGCUAACUAUUACUGAGAAUUGCUAGUUGAGGUAAUUAAUGACUGACAAAUUUGAAGAUGUAGCGAUGACCUUUGGUUUAUAAAACGAUAAUGCUCAGAUAUCCUUUUUAAUUUGUAUUUUUCAAAGGCUAAUUAUCAAUCUCACUAUUUCAGAGAGAAAAAAACCGACACUUGCUCUGGAAAAAAUGCUUCGCUCAAGUUUAGGCACUCCCGGUUUGUGAACAGCCAGGAAGAAAACCCAGUUCUCCUGAGAUGGAGUCCUGUGACCUAUCCAGUGGACCGUGCUACUUCCAGAACACUGUCGUUUUCAGAAAGCCCUCUAUGAAGCAAUUUUUCAUAAUUAAAAACAAACCAAACGUCA